Molecule: ribosomal RNA, 685 nt
Filed under: uncultured bacterium
Lineage: Bacteria
Description: bacterial SSU rRNA
Rfam family: Bacterial small subunit ribosomal RNA
Source: RNAcentral
GAUAACCUGCCGUAUACAGGGGGAUAACACUUAGAAAUAGGUGCUAAUACCGCAUAAGCGCACGGUUCCGCAUGGAACAGUGUGAAAAACUCCGGCGGUAUACGAUGGAUCCGCGUCUGAUUAGCCAGUUGGCGGGGUAACGGCCCACCAAAGCGACGAUCAGUAGCCGGCCUGAGAGGGUGAACGGCCACAUUGGGACUGAGACACGGCCCAAACUCCUACGGGAGGCAGCAGUGGGGAAUAUUGCACAAUGGGGGAAACCCUGAUGCAGCGACGCCGCGUGAGUGAAGAAGUAUCUCGGUACGUAAAGCUCUAUCAGCAGGGAAGAAAAUGACGGUACCUGACUAAGAAGCCCCGGCUAACUACGUGCCAGCAGCCGCGGUAAUACGUAGGGGGCAAGCGUUAUCCGGAUUUACUGGGUGUAAAGGGAGCGUAGACGGCAGCGCAAGUCUGGAGUGAAAUGCCGGGGCCCAACCCCGGAACUGCUUUGGAAACUGUGCAGCUCGAGUGCAGGAGAGGUAAGCGGAAUUCCUAGUGUAGCGGUGAAAUGCGUAGAUAUUAGGAGGAACACCAGUGGCGAAGGCGGCUUACUGGACUGUAACUGACGUUGAGGCUCGAAAGCGUGGGGAGCAAACAGGAUUAGAUACCCUGGUAGUCCACGCCGUAAACGAUGAUUACUAGGUGU